RNAcentral lists this ribosomal RNA (274 nucleotides) under uncultured bacterium. RNAcentral describes it as "partial 16S ribosomal RNA". It matches the Rfam family "Bacterial small subunit ribosomal RNA", at positions 523 to 796 of the family's 1533-position model. The record is from RNAcentral.
AUACGGAGGGUGCAAGCGUUAUCCGGAUUUAUUGGGUUUAAAGGGUCCGUAGGCGGAUCUGUGAGUCAGUGGUGAAAUCUCAUAGCUUAACUAUGAAACUGCCAUUGAUACUGCAGGUCUUGAGUAAGGUAGAAGUAGCUGGAAUAAGUAGUGUAGCGGUGAAAUGCAUAGAUAUUACUUAGAACACCAAUUGCGAAGGCAGGUUACUAUGUCUUAACUGACGCUGAUGGACGAAAGCGUGGGGAGCGAACAGGAUUAGAUACCCGGGUAGUCC